UUCUGUGUUGGUGCAAUGUACUCAGGUGAAUAAGAUGCUUGCCCGGUGUGGAUAUACACUCAGAGUAACAUCACAAGCAUCUUAUUCACCUGAGUACAUUGCACCAACACAGAA
Molecule: non-coding RNA, 114 nt
Organism: Paramuricea clavata
Lineage: Eukaryota; Metazoa; Cnidaria; Anthozoa; Malacalcyonacea; Plexauridae
Source: the annotation of a GenBank genome assembly